ACCACCGCCAUCUUGAGCGGAGGUGUUCCGUGUGGCGCUUCCGCUGAGGGGCCCGUGUAGCCGUUUCCCACCCAAACUCUGCUCUGCGUGCCGCCCCCUGUCAGCAAGGGGGCCUAGACUCAGGAUAGAAUGAAAAGGUAGAAUGGGAUGCUUGGAAAUCACUGUAACUGAUGAUGCUCAACUAGAAGUUAGAAUAUGGGUAACUGAUGUCAUGCCUACGAACCUUCCCUGUCAUGGUCCCAGUGAUGGAGAGCCAGUCAACGCAAUGAUCCCUUUUCCACCUUCCUUUGCUCUACUUUGUCCUCAGUUGGCCUCGGGGUUAUUUGGUGAUGGUAGAAUUAGCAGACAGUCCGAAGGUAGGUGCUUGCAUUCCCUUAGCUGAAUGUCUCUAAAACAAUGCCAACUCUGACUAGAACCUCUUU
This 422-nucleotide long non-coding RNA is filed under the name Capra hircus (goat). Its description in RNAcentral is "lncRNA (ENSCHIG00000004818.1)". Lineage: Eukaryota; Metazoa; Chordata; Mammalia; Artiodactyla; Bovidae. The record is from RNAcentral.